AUUGAACGCUGGCGGCAGGCCUAACACAUGCAAGUCGAACGAGUGGCGGACGGGUGAGUAAUGUCUGGGAAACUGCCCGAUGGAGGGGGAUAAAUACUGGAAACGGUAGCUAAUACCGCAUACCAUCGGAUGUGCCCAGAUGGGUGUAGCUAGCAGGUGGGGUAACGGCUCUUCUAGGCGACGACCCCUAGCUGGUCUGAGAGGAUGACCAGCCACACUGGAACUGAGACACGGUCCAGCCUCCUACGGGAGGCAGGUGUGGGGAAAAUUGCACAAUGGGAGCAAGGCUGAUGCAGCCAUGCCGCGUGUAUGAAGAAGGCCUUCGGGUUGUAAAGUACUUUCAGCGAGGAGGCGUUACUCGCAGAAGAAGCACCGGCUAACUCAGUGCCAGCAGCCGGGGUAAUAC
Molecule: ribosomal RNA, 406 nt
Filed under: uncultured bacterium
Lineage: Bacteria
Description: partial 16S ribosomal RNA
Rfam family: Bacterial small subunit ribosomal RNA
Source: RNAcentral